UAUUCCCAAACCUUCAUUUUCUCUCUCUUUUUUUUUUUUUACUUUCAUAAACUCUAAAUCUUAUUUUUUUUACUUUCCCCAAACCCUCAUUUUUUUACUCUCGACGGAAAUCUUUCCCCAAACCCUCGUUUUCUCAUCUGACCAGAAGUUCUUCUAUAACCGGAGACAGCGCCAUCGAUCUAUGACUGGAAGUUCUUCCCUUGCGUGCAUCUGAAGGUGGGAAUCGCCCUCUGUACGGAAAUUCUUCUCUCGACCUCAUUCACUGCAGGUAUUCAGAUAGAUACUCCAACUUUUUUUUCUUUAUCCCUUUAGGUUUCAUUCUGAUCUGGGAUAGGUCUGAUCUGGAAUAGGUCUGAUCUGGAAUAUCCAUAUGGUUUGAUGACUUGAUCCACUAACAUAACUCAGUUAGUGCCAGCUGGAAUUGCCUUGUGCGUAUAACAACAUUUGAAGAAUAGGUGGGAAUCCGUCUCUUAUUCUCAGUUGCAAAUCAUGCAAGUAAUGUUCUGAAUAUUGGCGCCCCAUUGCUGCAAUUUAUUGAAUGCUGUGAUGAAAUGAAACCCCACCUAACCCUCUGUAGUAGCAGUGAAAAUUUAGUAGGCAUUUUCCCCUUGUUUUUGAGCAUUUCAAUGUAGGAAUUUGGUGGGCAGUUUCACCAGAGUGUUAUUGGUAAGGCAUUGUAGACAUUUUCUGAUUUUUACUGAAUUUGGUGGGAUCGGCCAUGAUAGCUUUCAACAUUGCAGAAUUAGUGGAUUGAUUGACCGUAAUGUCUUCAAUACAUUGGUUUUGUAAAUAUCUUUCUUUAACUCAAUUUUCUUUUACAGAUUAGUUUGCCCCCCCAAAAUUUUCCAGCUUUUUUGACUGAGUAUAUGUCACACAGCCUUUAUAUUGUUGUUAUAGGCAAAUAGGCUAAUUAAUACUCGCUUUCAACCGAAUGAUUCUUAACCAAACCAUUUGACCAAUAAUUCUAUUAUUUCUAUAUAAGUUUUUGGAUUCAAUUAAAUAAAAUGUUUAAAUUUUCAGUGUACUGCCAAUAUAUUAGUAUUUAGUAAACUAUUUUCUUCUUCUUCUUCUUCCAUUCAUCCAUCCAUCCAUUUGCAAUAAUAUGAUCUGGUCCUGUAUUUUAAUUGUUAUGACUCACAAGUCAUAUUGAUACAUCUUUCUUAUUUUUCCACCUUUCUGUUCAGCCAAAUCUAAAUAUUUGGAUGCAUAAAUCGAUGAUUUUUUUGAAACCAGAAGCCUUGUUUCAACUUAUGAAACUCCUUUUCAACCAUUUCUAAUGGGUUGCAUUCAAUUAAAAUUAAAAUUCUUAUCUUGCGACUCCUUUUCGUCUUUCUAUUUUUUUCCCACCUUCCUAUAUCUGUACAAUCCUUCCUGCGAAUACUGUUUUUUUUUCCUGUAAAUUCUGAAGUUUUUUUUUUUUUUUUUUUUUGAAGCAAUUAAAUUUCAUUAGAAUAAGGCUAAUGCCAAGUUUACAAAAUAGAGAAUAGGAAUAAAAUAGAAGUAAAAAAGAAAUGAGCAAAAUGCUCAUUAACUCUCUCCCAUUAGCUAUGUAGUCUAAUUAUACAGUAACUAGAUACGCUGCCUCAGAAGGUUGGUCUCCCAUACUUCCAUCAUAGAUAUCUCCAAAGGGUGACAACAGCUCUUCUUGUAAUACACUGAAUCAAAGGAGAGACUGAUGUCUUUAAUGACCUCCUUAAGGACUACCUCAGGAAGUCUACUAAUGUGCUGCCUAUACCUUUUAUUUCUUUCCGUCCAUAUAUGCCACGACAAGCACCCAAUAGCAUUCCAUAUUAACCCCCAAGGGGGGGAGUGGCGCGUAAUCUUUUGUGCUGCUUCCGUCAGAUCCCCCAAUCUAAUAUCUGGACUUGAUUGGGUAGGAACUGGAAUAUUCAUUAUUUUCCAGAAAGCGAAAUCCAGCUGUUCCGCCAACGAAAUUAAGAGAGAUCUGGAAUAAGAACAGUUAGAGAAAAGAUGACUCCUAGUUUCAUCUUCCAGAUUACACAAUAAGCAAGCAGGAGGUACUUGUACUCUCCAAUUUCUUAAUUUCCUGAACGUGUUUAGAUGAUCCCAUUUCACCCUCCACAAGAGAAUAAAGAAUUUUGUCGGCAUCUUCGACCAAAUUCCCUCAGCUAACAUGUCUUUAUGCUUUCUAUCUCUAAUACUUUCCACUAUUCCCCCCAAUUUAUUUAUCGGACUACCAGAUCUCCACAUAAUCGUACUAUUCGCUCUACAAUCCAAACAUUUAUCCACUAGGUUUCUUUCUGAAACAAAAACUUUCCAAAAAUGCGAAUCCACAGUAGGUCUGAUUUGUAUAUCAUUAAACGCCUUUCCUUUAAUAUACCUAUCUUGGAUCCAUUUUACCAGAAUAGAAUCGCUCUUAUCCCAGUACUUUGAAGCUCUUUUAAUAUUGGUUGCAGUGGUGAUAAUAGGAAGGUCUCUAACCCCUAGACCCCCUUCCGACUNNNNNNNNNNNNNNNNNNNNNNNNNNNNNNNNNNNNNNNNNNNNNNNNNNNNNNNNNNNNNNNNNNNNNNNNNNNNNNNNNNNNNNNNNNNNNNNNNNNNCUUGCGCCCAAUAAGUAUACUUUCCGGCUAUAAUCCAGUUAACUAAUUGUAUUCUCCCUCCAUAGGAAAGACAUUUCCCACUCCAUCUUGCUAGGAGCGCCUCUAUAGACUGGAUUAGCUUCCAGCACUGUCCAAAUGACUUUUUCUUUCCCGUGAUUGGUAACCCUAGAUAUGUUAUAGGUAGACUUUUAACAGUAUAUCCUAAGAUAUUAUGUAAAGAUAUUAUGUAAGUUAUCCAAAGGUGCUAGGUCAUUAUUGUUAUCACUAAAAUGACCUAGCACGAGUAAUAGCAAGAAGCUUUCCUGGUCUGCAGAUAUUAAAAAUCGGUGAUUUAAUGCUUAAUGACGAUGGCUUUCUUUCUAUCCAGACGGACCAUGGGCCAAACAGGCCCACAUAGGUUUCCUAUAUAUGCCUCUCUUGCCUCAACAAGGGAGGUUGAUAAUCUUGAAGAGAGUAAUCAGAGAGUUGUGUGUGUGAACUUCACAAGUCCACACACCAUCAUUGAUAUCGACAAUUGCCCUUUACUUGCUAUUGGAGAAUAAGUGAGAAAUAGAAUUGAAAAUAUAUAUCAACCUGAAAUAAUGACGAUAGAUUUUCAUUGAAUUACGUUGAUAAUUACGAUGAUGGUUACAAUCCUUAUUAUGGUUUAACUUAUGGACAAAUGUAGUUGCUUCCCUGUUGGUAAUUACUCGAUCUAAUAUUGGUUUCAUUUUAUUGUGUGUUUUUGAAAAUCAACUGAUAUGAUUUUUUUAAUUCUAGGUUUGAAAUCUCCUAAUGCUGCACAUAUAUUGAAGUCAAUAACUGUGAAAGAUUGAACUCAUAUAUUUUGGAACUUUUCCAAUGAAAUUUUGCAAUUAAAUAACGACAAUGCAUGCAAAUCUCAUAGGGUUUAUAGACAGAGGGUAACUUAUCUUGAUUUUUCAGUAUCAUCAGUAUUGCAAAUUAUGCUACAAAUAUAUUUUGUAUGUAUUGGCAAUUUAAAAAGGGUCUAUAUGUAAUUUUUAAUUAUAUAGGGGGGUUAAAUAUAAUUUUUACACUAUAUUAAUACACAGAAUUCCUGGGUUUUAGCUUCGCGUCGCUGAAAAACUAGCGACGAUAUUGGUUAUCAUCGGUGAAAAAUUAGCGAUGAUUCAAUAUCGUUGCUAAAAUAUGGUCGUGGUUUUUUUGACGCAAUAAAAAUAUUAUCAUCGUUAAAUCGUCG
Molecule: long non-coding RNA, 3763 nt
Filed under: Zostera marina
Lineage: Eukaryota; Viridiplantae; Streptophyta; Magnoliopsida; Alismatales; Zosteraceae
Description: long non-coding RNA (ZMAR_LNC005637)
Source: RNAcentral